GACGAACGCUGGCGGCGUGCUUAACACAUGCAAGUCGAACGGAAAGGCCCUUCGGGGUACUCGAGUGGCGAACGGGUGAGUAACACGUGGGUGAUCUGCCCUGCACUUUGGGAUAAGCCUGGGAAACUGGGUCUAAUACCGAAUAGGACCACGCGCUUCAUGGUGUGUGGUGGCAAGCUUUUGCGGUGUGGGAUGGGCCCGCGGCCUAUCAGCUUGUUGGUGGGGUAAUGGCCUACCAAGGCGACGACGGGUAGCCGGCCUGAGAGGGUGACCGGCCACACUGGGACUGAGAUACGGCCCAGACUCCUACGGGAGGCAGCAGUGGGGAAUAUUGCACAAUGGGCGCAAGCCUGAUGCAGCGACGCCGCGUGAGGGAUGACGGCCUUCGGGUUGUAAACCUCUUUCACCAGGGACGAAGCGUAAGUGACGGUACCUGGAGAAGAAGCACCGGCCAACUACGUG
Molecule: ribosomal RNA, 462 nt
Filed under: uncultured bacterium
Lineage: Bacteria
Description: partial 16S ribosomal RNA
Rfam family: Bacterial small subunit ribosomal RNA
Source: RNAcentral